CAGCGGCCCUAGUGGUGAUCGUUAUUAUUGGGCCUAAAGCAUCCGUAGCCGGCGCUGUAAGUUUUCGGUUAAAUCUGUACGCUCAACGUACAGGCUGCCGGGAAUACUGCAGCGCUAGGGAGUGGGAGAGGUAGACGGUACUCGGUAGGAAGGGGUAAAAUCCUUUGAUCUAUUGAUGACCACCUGUGGCGAAGGCGGUCUACCAGAACACGUCCGACGGUGAGGGAUGAAAGCUGGGGGAGCAAACCGGAUUAGAUACCCGCGUAGUCC
Molecule: ribosomal RNA, 270 nt
Filed under: uncultured archaeon
Lineage: Archaea
Description: partial 16S ribosomal RNA
Rfam family: Archaeal small subunit ribosomal RNA
Source: RNAcentral